RNAcentral lists this ribosomal RNA (613 nucleotides) under uncultured archaeon. Its description in RNAcentral is "bacterial SSU rRNA". It matches the Rfam family "Archaeal small subunit ribosomal RNA", at positions 307 to 922 of the family's 1478-position model. The record is from RNAcentral.
GACAAGGGCCCAGGCCUUACGGGGCGCAGCAGUCGCGAAAACUUUGCAAUACACGAAAGUGUGACAGGGCUAUCCCGAGUGCCAUCCGCUGAGGAAGGCUUUUACCCAGUCUAGAACGCUGGGGGAAUAAGGAGAGGGCAAGUCUGGUGUCAGCCGCCGCGGUAAUACCAGCUCUCCGAGUGGUGUGGAUGUUUAUUGGGCCUAAAGCAUCCGUAGCUGGCUAAGUUAGUCCCCUGUUAAAUCCAACGAAUUAAUCGUUGGAUCGCGGGGGAUACUGCUUGGCUAGGGGACGAGAGAGGCAGACGGUAUUUCCGGGGUAGGGGUGAAAUCCUAUAAUCCCGGGAAGACCACCAGUGGCGAAGGCUGUCUGCUAGAACGCGCCCGACGGUGAGGGAUGAAAGCUGGGGGAGCGAACCGGAUUAGAUACCCGGGUAGUCCCAGCUGUAAACGAUGCAGGCUAGGUGUUUGGACGGCCACGUGCCGUUCUAGUGCCGCAGGGAAGCUGUUAAGCCUGCCGCCUGGGGAGUACGAUCGCAAGAUUGAAACUUAAAGGAAUUGGCGGGGGAGCACCACAAGGGGUGAAGCUUGCGGUUUAAUUGGAGUCAACGCCGGG